GUGGCACCUCUGCUCCUCCCAUUCCACGCCAGCGUCUGGACAGUCAGGAAGGAAUUCCUCACCAUGUACCUUAGUGUGGAUCCAUCCUUUACACCCUUGGCCUCUCUGCCUUAUGCUCUUACGUGUCCCAGUAUGGACUUGAGCUUCAUCUCCCAAGUGCUGUGAUUGCAUGCCUGUGACACACAAUGCAUGUGACACCAUGCCUGCUUUAUGUGGGACCAGGGACUGGAUUGUGGUUUCUACAUGGCAGGUACGCUCCCUAUGAACCGAGUCCCAGUGCUAGCCCAAGGCCAACUCUUCACCAGUGAAAGGAUCAAGUUCCCUUCUUCAUGAGACUUGGAAACUGUGCUGGGUAGUUUUGUAUGGCCUCCCUGCCAAUCAGAAGACACUAGAAGAAAAACAGAACAAGCAGGCAAAAAGUCUGCCACCACCAACAAAACCCAAUAUCCACAAACCUGCCAGAAAGGAAGAGAUGGAGAGGAGUUGGGUGUGUGACUCAGUGGUUGCACAUGUGUCUAGCAGGUGUAAAGCUCUGGGUUCAAGCCCCAGUACAAAAACAGAAAAGAGAAGGAGGCCGGUACCUAGUUCUCAAAGAACUCAAGUCUGCUCUGACUGUUUCUCGAGCUGGAUACAUG
RNAcentral lists this long non-coding RNA (635 nucleotides) under Cricetulus griseus (Chinese hamster). Its description in RNAcentral is "lncRNA (ENSCGRG00015029220.1)". The record is from RNAcentral. Lineage: Eukaryota; Metazoa; Chordata; Mammalia; Rodentia; Cricetidae.